This 291-nucleotide long non-coding RNA is filed under the name Trifolium pratense (red clover). RNAcentral's name for it is "long non-coding RNA (TPRA_LNC009872)". Lineage: Eukaryota; Viridiplantae; Streptophyta; Magnoliopsida; Fabales; Fabaceae. The record is from RNAcentral.
CCAAAUUAUAUGUAAGAAAGCACAACAACAAGCAACCAAGCACAACAAGAAAGCAUACCCUAAUGCUAUCGACGGAAUUUAAAUACGGAAAUAAAAACGGUGCCCUUACCUCGGCAAUGCUUCCAACCAAAACCACAAUGUUUCACAAUAUCUACCGUUUCGCGUUUCCUAAAAAUAACGAGCGGACAAUGAAUAAGUUUCUCCCAAAUUAUCUUAUCGAAACUAAACCUAUCUACAAAGGUCUAGAGGUGUCUAAGGCACUUCCUAACACUCUCGAAUAUUAUUUCCGAG